AUCUCUGCCACCUCCCCUCUUCCACACUGGCCAUCCAGUCUUGCCUGUCUGGGCUCGUUCUGUGCUUUUUACCUGUCAUUCUCACAGAGACUUGAUGUCUGUAGAGUGUUCUAUGAAACCAAAUAGUGUGGGAGCAGACUGAGUUACUGCAUCUGUGCUGCUUAACAGGGACCCUCAAGUAUAGUAACAGGUAUCUGUCAAAUUUGUCAUACUUUUGAUUCUUUGUGUCUAUAACAGCAAUCCCUAUAUUAUUUUCAAUUCUUUUGGAGAGCAAAAAAAUUGAGAGAUAGCAACGGAUUGAUUUUGAUACCACCAAAAACAGGCUCUUCAGUUACUGGAAGGAUAGAGAAGGAGGUACUUCAGUGGUGCAGACAAAUGUGGUGCAAGGAAUUUUUCUAUAUGAUUAGAGGCCUCUCCUCAUCAGAUCUUAUCUGGAAAUGA
RNAcentral lists this long non-coding RNA (441 nucleotides) under Cyanistes caeruleus (blue tit). RNAcentral describes it as "lncRNA (ENSCCEG00000015306.1)". Lineage: Eukaryota; Metazoa; Chordata; Aves; Passeriformes; Paridae. The record is from RNAcentral.